UUCCAGACUCCUACGGGAGGCAGCAGUGAGGAAUAUUGGUCAAUGGGCGAGAGCCUGAACCAGCCAAGUCGCGUGAGGGAGUACUGCCCUAUGGGUUGUAAACCUCUUUUGUCGGGGAGCAAAAGCCGGACGUGUCCGGCUGUGAGAGUACCCGAAGAAAAAGCAUCGGCUAACUCCGUGCCAGCAGCCGCGGUAAUACGGAGGAUGCGAGCGUUAUCCGGAUUUAUUGGGUGUAAAGGGAGCGCAGGCGGCUUUGCAAGUCUGAUGUGAAAGGCCGGGGCUCAACCCCGGGACUGCAUUGGAAACUGUAAAGCUAGAGUGCCGGAGGGGUAAGCGGAAUUCCUAGUGUAGCGGUGAAAUGCGUAGAUAUUAGGAGGAACACCAGUGGCGAAGGCGGCUUACUGGACGGCAACUGACGCUGAGGCUCGAAAGCGUGGGGAGCAAACAGAAUUAGAUACCCUCGUA
RNAcentral lists this ribosomal RNA (465 nucleotides) under uncultured bacterium. Its description in RNAcentral is "bacterial SSU rRNA". It matches the Rfam family "Bacterial small subunit ribosomal RNA", at positions 329 to 792 of the family's 1533-position model. The record is from RNAcentral.